AUGAAGUGGCGCCAAGCUUCUGGCAUUCUCUAUGACAAGAGAGUGCCACAAAAGCUAAAAGGCAAGUUCUACAGGACGGCAGUUCGACCCGCAAUGUUGUAUGGUGCUGAGUGUUGGCCGGCUAAAAGGCGACAUGUACAACAAUUAGGUGUGGCGGAGAUGCGUAUGUUGAGAUGGAUGUGUGGCCACACGAAGAAGGAUCGAGUCCGGAAUGAUGAUAUACGAGAGAGUUGGGGUAGCACCAAUUGA
RNAcentral lists this ribosomal RNA (249 nucleotides) under Triticum aestivum (bread wheat). Its description in RNAcentral is "partial small subunit ribosomal RNA". Lineage: Eukaryota; Viridiplantae; Streptophyta; Magnoliopsida; Poales; Poaceae. The record is from RNAcentral.